CCUACGGGUUGCAGCAGUGGGGAAUAUUGCACAAUGGGCGCAAGCCUGAUGCAGCCAUGCCGCGUGUACGAAGAAGGCCUUCGGGUUGUAAAGUACUUUCAGCGAGGAGGAAGGCGUUAAGGUUAAUAACCUUGGCGAUUGACGUUACUCGCAGAAGAAGCACCGGCUAACUCCGUGCCAGCAGCCGCGGUAAUACGGAGGGUGCAAGCGUUAAUCGGAAUUACUGGGCGUAAAGCGCACGCAGGCGGUCUGUCAAGCCGGAUGUGAAAUCCCCGGGCUCAACCUGGGAACUGCAUCCGAAACUGGCAGGCUAGAGUAUUGUAGAGGGGGGUAGAAUUCCAGGUGUAGCGGUGAAAUGCGUAGAGAUCUGGAGGAAUACCGGUGGCGAAGGCGGCCCCCUGGACAAAGACUGACGCUCAGGUGCGAAAGCGUGGGGAGCAAACAGGAUUAGAUACCCCGGUAGUC
RNAcentral lists this ribosomal RNA (465 nucleotides) under uncultured bacterium. RNAcentral describes it as "bacterial SSU rRNA". It matches the Rfam family "Bacterial small subunit ribosomal RNA", at positions 338 to 795 of the family's 1533-position model. The record is from RNAcentral.